This 529-nucleotide ribosomal RNA is filed under the name uncultured bacterium. RNAcentral describes it as "bacterial LSU rRNA". It matches the Rfam family "Bacterial large subunit ribosomal RNA", at positions 2123 to 2650 of the family's 2925-position model. The record is from RNAcentral.
UUUGAACAGACUUGUGUAGGAUAGGUGGGAGGCUUUGAAGUGGGAACGCCAGUUCUCAUGGAGCCGUCCUUGAAAUACCACCCUGGUGUGUUUGAGGUUCUAACCUGGGUCCGUCAUCCGGAUCGGGGACCGUGCAUGGUAGGCAGUUUGACUGGGGCGGUCUCCUCCCAAAGUGUAACGGAGGAGCUCGAAGGUCGCCUAGGUACGGUCGGACAUCGUACUGAUAGUGUAAUGGCAUAAGGCGGCUUAACUGCGAGACCGACAAGUCGAGCAGGUGCGAAAGCAGGACAUAGUGAUCCGGUGGUUCUGUAUGGAAGGGCCAUCGCUCAACGGAUAAAAGGUACUCCGGGGAUAACAGGCUGAUACCGCCCAAGAGUUCACAUCGACGGCGGUGUUUGGCACCUCGAUGUCGGCUCAUCACAUCCUGGGGCUGUAGCCGGUCCCCAAGGGUAUGGCUGUUCGCCAUUUAAAGUGGUACGUGAGCUGGGUUUAAAACGUCGUGAGACAGUUUGGUCCCUAUCUGCAGUGG